Molecule: small nuclear RNA, 97 nt
Organism: Pteropus vampyrus (large flying fox)
Lineage: Eukaryota; Metazoa; Chordata; Mammalia; Chiroptera; Pteropodidae
Source: Ensembl
GUGCUUGCUUCGACACCACAUAUACUAAAAUUGGAAUGAUAUAGCAUGGCCCCUGCGCAAGGAUGACACAAAAGUUCAUGAAGUGUUCCAUAUCUUU